CAAGACAAGCAAAGCAUACUGCGCAGUGAGCACUACGCAGUACGCGCAGUUCUGCCGAUUCGGCAUUUCAUUUCGGCCAUUCGGCAUCCAAUCCUCCAUUAUCCACAAUUCACAUUACUAUUAUCUACAAUUCACACUUCCCCACACAGCCAAUAUUAAGUUUAUCAGCUCCGAACUGAACACAACCUCUCAGUUGAUUCUCAGGUUUCACGUCUCAGUGCACAUUGAGCUGUUCUUGAGCAUACACUUAGUAUUGCAUAAUUAAAAGUCGCAAUUGUGUAGGGGGUUUAGUUGAAAUAGUGCGAUACUUAGUUGUCCCAAGUGAUUAAUAAAAAUCCACAAGAGAACAAAAGCACCAACAUUCAAGAUGUCUUGUAAUGGAAUGUACGAGCUCAUCGCGCACUCAUAAGGAUUGGAGACGACAAGUUAAAAAAGAACGACGCAGACGCCUGAGACGGCUAGCCGCGCGAGCUAGAGACGGGGAGGCCGAGCGCCUGAAGCAGCGGCUAGAGAACGAUCCGAACUACGCUCGUUGGCAAGAAGAACAGGCCAAGCUCGAAGCCAAGCGAGAAAAACUCGCCGAGGAAGAGCACGUCAGGGCCGAGAAAGCUUGGUUAGACGCCGAGGUUAAGGCACAAAAGGAGUGGCAAGUGCUACAAGCAAAAAGGGCGAAGGCUCGGGAGUUGCAGUUAGAACAAGAAGCCAAAAUUCGUAAAGAAUACGAAGAGAUGCAAGAUACCGCCAGGAAAAAGAAAGAAGCAGAGCGGCGUCGCCGCGAUGAGCAGAAAAAGCUCUUCGACAGAAUGAAAAAGGAGAUCGAUGCCUACAUUGACGACGGCGCCAGGACCCCUAAAGCUCUGAGGACUCUCAAUGAGACUCAGCCGGGCAAAGAGAUCUGUCCCUUCUUCAACAAGACGGGUGCCUGUAGGUACGGCGACAUAUGCUCCAGAAAUCACCAGAGACCUGGUUUGAGCACAGUCAUCCUUGUGCCAAACUUUUACACUCAUUUUUCUCUGGAAAGACACAGAGACGAGUACGAUACCGAUAAUAGAUUGGAGUAUGACCACAGAGAGACCCGCAAUCACUUCCGUGACUUUUAUUUCGAUGUUGCACCAGAGCUUGAGAAGUUUGGUAAAAUCAAGACCUUGCAAUAUUGUAAGAAUACUGAAUCUCAUCUUAGAGGAAACCUUUACGUUGAAUACAUGACCGAGAGAGAAGCUGCAAGUGCUCUGCGUGGCUUGAAGGGCAGAUGGUAUGCAGGGAGACAAUUACACUGUGAGUUUGUCAAUCUAAAGUCCUGGAGAGGUGCCAUUUGCGGGAUGAUGCGUUGCCCCAAGGGAAGUUCGUGCAACUUUUUGCACACUUUUAGAAAUCCCACUGACGACUAUGGAGUUAAAAGUCCACCGCUGUGGCAGAAAAGACAAGAAAUGUUCGAAAAGGGAGGCAGUACUAGAGACAGCUCCUCUCGCAGAGGCAACACCAGCAGCAGAAAAUCAAACUGGGAAGAUAAUGACAAUCAAGAUAGAAGAGACAAAAAUUGGAGAUGGUCAGAAUCUCCAGAGCCCAAUGAUAGAAGAUACGAUAAUAGAGGAAGGCAACAAAAUCAAUUUAAUAACAGGCCUAUGCAACGGAAUAAUUUCCAGCGCAAUAACCAGUUCAACAAUAACAAUCGUAAUUUUGAUAACCGAAGAGACAACCGCAACUUUUACAACAAUGACAAUAGACAAAGGCAAAGGAAUUUCAAUGAUAAUCGAAAUCGGUUUCAGCAAGACGACCGAGAUCGUUACAAUAGACCACAGCAGCAAAGGCGACAAAACUUUGACAGAUUCAGACGGUUCUCUGGCUCAGAUGACGGUGAAGAUUACAAAAUGAAUAAACGUCGCGAGAGGCGCUCCAUGGACCGGAAGAGUAGAUCUCGAUCUCGUUUGCGAUCUCGUUCUCGAUCGGGCAGCCGAUCGCGCUCCCCAUCUAGAUCGCCAUCGCGCUCACGCUCUCGAUCGCGCUCUCGGUCUCGCUCGCCAUCCCAUUCAGGAUCUCGUUCUCGAUCACGCUCUCGCUCGAGGACCCGCUCUCGUAGUAUGAUGAACGAACAGAUGAUUGACAUUGAAGAACUCAGGGGUAAAAAGGGCAGACCUGUGCACUCCGCCAGUAGAUCUCCCUCUCGGGAACGCAAACGCAGACCACCAUCGCCAGAUGCCAAAGACAGAGGACAUGGAAAGGUCAUCAGAAAACCACCGAGUCAGGGCGUUUCUAAAUGGGAUAAUGAAAAACGUGAUUCAAGCCCAAGAUGCCGGGACUCUCGUUCACGUUCACCCUACAGAGGUAGUAAACAGAGUAAAGAUAAUCAGCCCAGUCACCGUCACCAUCCAUCAUCAACUAUACAACAGGCUCCACCGCAACAGUCAUCCAAACACUCGUCAGAUAAACCUAGAUCUAAGGGUCAAAAAGAUUAUGAGUGGGACACGACCGAUUCAGACAAUGAGUGAUUUUUUUGAGCAAUUUUAUAAAUAAUUACACUGUUAGUGUAUGAUAAUGAAUAUAUUCCUCAUUUCAAUUUCGUGACUAUAUGGCUAAGGGUCACCAGGAUACGACGAUUUAAAGAUCAGAUAAUUAGAUUUUAAUCCAUUAUACAUGUAUUGACUUGAUUAAAUAGAUAUUAGAGAUAUUCCAGUACUGUGACUCGCUUCUAUCAAAUCAGACAUAAAUUUCCUUUAGAUUGUCAUGAUUAAUAUUAUAUUUGUGCAUUGCAAACGAAAGUGAAAUUUUUUUGUUUGUGUGCUCAUUUGUAUAUUUUGGCACAAUCAGCUUCAGUUGAUUUAAUAGGUAUUCAAGGCUUAAGCAAGAUUAUAAGGGAAGCAGAAUGUUAAAAAAUAAAUUUAUUUACAUCCAGUAGAUUGUAACCAUCGCGAUGGUUGAACUUGGUGAAUUCUACGUUUAACUAUCAUAAACGUUACUUACUGGUAAAUAAAAAACAAAUGGCACUGUAGCGGUAAAACGAGCAUUUCCGUAGUCUUGGUCCGGUAAUACUUAUUUUAGAGGAAAAGGGACUGUAAGUUCGAGAUUAAACGGGUUUUAUGCGAAGCUUUUACGUCUUAUACCGAGCAUGAUUAUUACGUAAAAAGUAGACCAACUCAGUUAUUUUAUUUAUUCAGUAUAUCAGAUCAUAUGAGCAUUAGAUUAUAUAUUUUUAUAAUAAUUUGAAUUAAAAAUCAGGGAUAUGAGCACAGAUAAUAUUAUGCAGUAUUUGAGUACAGAUCAAGCAUUAGACAUCGCGUAUUUUGUGGAUUAUAGAAAAUUAACAGUAUUCCAGAUUAAAAGUCAUAUUUUUGGUGGAUCUUCUGCUGGAAAGGUAGCAGUUUGGAUUGUAAAUAGUAUCCACGUCUGGUUCAGGUAAAUUUAAUCCUUAUUAGUUCAUGACCAUUAUUUAUAUUCAUUUUCUGUUUAACAACAUGAUUCCAACUUAAUAUUACUUCAAAAAAAAGGCAAUUUUUCGGUCUGGUUUAAUCGAAAUAACUGAGCUUGGCUAAUAAACGAUUUUUUUAUAUUUAAAUACAAUUAGUUAUACGUUGAUCUUGUUCCAUUGCAAGCUUAAACAACCUCAUUAAUAAGUUUAAUUUAAUUUGUAGGAUAUACAAAUUCAGUGAGUUUAAACAUGCAAUGAUUUAUAAAAACUUUUUUAUAUUAUACGAUUUUAAUGAUAAUAUCGCAUAAGUGUAUGAAAGGAGAAUAAUUUUUUUUUUUCACUUAAAUAUAUGAAAAAAAUUAAUUCUCAAUACUACUACGAAACUUUUCUUCAGAGUAAAAAAUAAUCAAGAAAUUUAACAUUUUAAUUGAAUUUAAUUGAGCCAUCAUACACCUAUACUAUGUAUAACUACUUAAAUAAAUAUGUAUAAAUAAUACUUCUACAAUAUAGUAGCAUUGUUAUAUAGAAUUAUGGGAAUUUUUAGUAAGUAUAAAUAGAAUUAUUGUGUCUUAGAUUUUUUUAGUUGUGAGUCUAUGAACGCAAUAAAACUCGUUGAUAUGUGUAUAAUUUUGAUCUAAUUUUCAUUGAAACGCUUUAUUUACCGUUUUACAAACUUACUAGCGUCGUAAAUUAACUCUGUCACAUCAUAUAUUUCACUAUCUCCUUGUCUUUAUUUAUAUACUUGCCAAUACACUGUUUCAAUAUUAAUAUCUAAGGUUUGAAAGAUUAACAAAACUAUUCUUGUACAGAUAAAAGUUAAAUAAAUUUUUUUUAAAGUCGUGAGGAAAA
Molecule: unclassified non-coding RNA, 4252 nt
Filed under: Copidosoma floridanum
Lineage: Eukaryota; Metazoa; Arthropoda; Insecta; Hymenoptera; Encyrtidae
Description: U2 small nuclear ribonucleoprotein auxiliary factor 35 kDa subunit-related protein 2, transcript variant X3
Source: RNAcentral